Molecule: ribosomal RNA, 451 nt
Filed under: uncultured bacterium
Lineage: Bacteria
Description: SSU rRNA
Rfam family: Bacterial small subunit ribosomal RNA
Source: RNAcentral
AGAACGAACGCUGGCGGCAUGCCUAACACAUGCAAGUCGAACGAGACCUUCGGGUCUAGUGGCGCACGGGUGCGUAACACGUGGGAAUCUGCCCUUGGGUUCGGAAUAACAGUUGGAAACGACUGCUAAUACCGGAUGAUGACGUAAGUCCAAAGAUUUAUCGCCCAAGGAUGAGCCCGCGUCGGAUUAGCUAGUUGGUGGGGUAAAGGCCUACCAAGGCGACGACGGGUAGCUGGUCUGAGAGGACGACCAGCCACACUGGAACUGAGAUACGGUCCAGACUCCUACGGGAGGCAGCAGUGGGGAAUCUUGCACAAUGGGCGAAAGCCUGAUGCAGCGACGCCGCGUGGGGGACGAAUGCCUUCGGGUUGUAAACCCCUUUCGGCAGGGAAGAAGCGCAAGUGACGGUACCUGCAGAAGAAGUCCCGGCUAACUACGUGCCAGCAGCCGC